UGAGGAAUAUUGGACAAUGGGCGAAAGCCUGAUCCAGCCAUGCCGCGUGAGUGAUGAAGGCCUUAGGGUUGUAAAGCUCUUUCAGCGGGGAAGAUGAUGACGGUACCCGCAGAAGAAGCCCCGGCCAACUCCGUGCCAGCAGCCGCGGUAAUACGGAGGGGGCUAGCGUUGUUCGGAAUUACUGGGCGUAAAGCGCGCGUAGGCGGUUGGCCAAGUCAGGCGUGAAAUCCCCGGGCUCAACCUGGGAACUGCGCUUGAUACUGGCCGGCUAGAGUCCGGGAGAGGGUAGUGGAAUUCCCAGUGUAGAGGUGAAAUUCGUAGAUAUUGGGAAGAACACCGGCGGCGAAGGCGGCUACCUGGACCGGUACUGACGCUGAGGUGCGAAAGCGUGGGGAGCAAACAGG
This 404-nucleotide ribosomal RNA is filed under the name uncultured Rhodospirillaceae bacterium. RNAcentral's name for it is "bacterial SSU rRNA". It matches the Rfam family "Bacterial small subunit ribosomal RNA", at positions 355 to 776 of the family's 1533-position model. RNAcentral also lists the same sequence under 1 other name. The record is from RNAcentral. Lineage: Bacteria; Pseudomonadati; Pseudomonadota; Alphaproteobacteria; Rhodospirillales; Rhodospirillaceae.